GCAACACAUAGGUAGAUUGAAAAAGGGAAAGCAGGCAUGCCAUUUUCAGCACACAAAUACUCCGUCACAAGAUGCUGACAAGAGCAGUACCACAAAUGGUCAUCAUCCAACACAAAAGGCUCAGGAAAAAUGAUUCUAUCAUCUGAAAGCAAAGUCAAUCCUUAAAGAUGAGCUAAUAAAACAAUACAUCGAAGUGAAAGAUGAGUAAGAAGAACGGAAGAUAAAUAAGUAGACAGCACCCUGAGCCUAUUUCACGUUCGUCUGCGCUCUCGAGUCGAAAGUAAGCGAUGGCAACUAAAAGGUCAAACACUUCUAAGCGAAGCAGAAAAGGCCAAAAGCUUGAUAAAUUAAAAGGCACACUUUUCGCUUUCCUAGGGGAAUGUUGAGACAUUACAAUGGAUAAGCAACUCAGGUUUUCGAAUAUCUCUACUCAACAACACAGGAGUGCAAUUCUCCUAACUAGUUACUAGGCAUUGUACUUGAAUAAUGUCAUGCAUGAUGGAAACUAUUCACAUAUCAAUAUAUCACUAUUGGAAAAACUUAAACUUUAAAUCACCUACGAUGCAUGAUGGAAACUAUUCACAUAUCAAUAUAUCACUAUUGGAAAAACUUAAACUUUAAAUCACCUACGAUAACAGGAUACUGCUGAAUAUGUCCAUUAACCUAUUCGAAUUACUAUUUAGAUUUUAAAAAAAUUGUCCUUUUUCAUUGAUUAAUUGAUGACAAUUAACUUCAAGCAAAAGAAUCAGGAACAACAACUUCAGGGAAUUCUUAUACAAGUUUACCGAC
RNAcentral lists this long non-coding RNA (789 nucleotides) under Ananas comosus (pineapple). Its description in RNAcentral is "long non-coding RNA (ACOM_LNC031153)". Lineage: Eukaryota; Viridiplantae; Streptophyta; Magnoliopsida; Poales; Bromeliaceae. The record is from RNAcentral.